RNAcentral lists this ribosomal RNA (492 nucleotides) under uncultured bacterium. RNAcentral's name for it is "partial 16S ribosomal RNA". It matches the Rfam family "Bacterial small subunit ribosomal RNA", at positions 29 to 507 of the family's 1533-position model. The record is from RNAcentral.
AGUGAACGCUGGCGGUAGGCCUAACACAUGCAAGUCGAACGGCAGCACAGUAAGAGCUUGCUCUUACGGGUGGCGAGUGGCGGACGGGUGAGGAAUACAUCGGAAUCUACUUUUUCGUGGGGGAUAACGUAGGGAAACUUACGCUAAUACCGCAUACGACCUACGGGUGAAAGCAGGGGAUCUUCGGACCUUGCGCGAUUGAAUGAGCCGAUGUCGGAUUAGCUAGUUGGCGGGGUAAAGGCCCACCAAGGCGACGAUCCGUAGCUGGUCUGAGAGGAUGAGUAGCCACACUGGAACUGAGACACGGUCCAGACUCCUACGGGAGGCAGCAGUGGGGAAUAUUGGACAAUGGGCGCAAGCCUGAUCCAGCCAUACCGCGUGGGUGAAGAAGGCCUUCGGGUUGUAAAGCCCUUUUGUUGGGAAAGAAAAGCAGCAGGUUAAUACCCCGCUGUUCUGACGGUACCCAAAGGAUAAGCACCGGCUAACUUCGUG